GACGAACGCUGGCGGCGUGCUUAACACAUGCAAGUCGAACGGAAAGGCCCUGCUUUUGUGGGGUGCUCGAGUGGCGAACGGGUGAGUAACACGUGAUUAACCUGCCCUUGACUUUGGGAUAACUUCAGGAAACUGGGGCUAAUACCGGAUAGGAGCUCCUGCUGCAUGGUGGGGGUUGGAAAGUUUCGGCGGUUGGGGAUGGACUCGCGGCUUAUCAGCUUGUUGGUGGGGUAGUGGCUUACCAAGGCUUUGACGGGUAGCCGGCCUAGAGGGUGACCGGCCACAUUGGGACUGAGAUACGGCCCAGACUCCUACGGGAGGCAGCAGUGGGGAAUAUUGCACAAUGGGCGGAAGCCUGAUGCAGCAACGCCGCGUGCGGGAUGACGGCCUUCGGGUUGUAAACCGCUUUCGCCUGUGACGAAGCGUGAGUGACGGUAAUGGGUAAAGAAGCACCGGCUAACUACGUG
RNAcentral lists this ribosomal RNA (467 nucleotides) under uncultured bacterium. RNAcentral's name for it is "partial 16S ribosomal RNA". It matches the Rfam family "Bacterial small subunit ribosomal RNA", at positions 28 to 507 of the family's 1533-position model. The record is from RNAcentral.